Molecule: long non-coding RNA, 447 nt
Organism: Penaeus chinensis
Lineage: Eukaryota; Metazoa; Arthropoda; Malacostraca; Decapoda; Penaeidae
Exons: 3
Source: RefSeq, a predicted model, not a curated record
CAUGUGAGGGAAAGUAGGAACCUUGACAGGAAAUCUGUGCGGUUUCUUGACUGUGCUGAAAGGUCUCCCUUCAACAUACAACAAAGAUCUGCAAGAAGACAAGUUGAAGAUGUUUGAAACGGCCUCAAUCAUGAAAGGGCUUCUUCAGGUAGCUGCUGGUGCGGUGGAGACAAUGGAGGUGGAUGCAGCAGCUUGUCAAAGGGGAUUGACUGAAGAGAUGCUUGCAACUGACAUAGCAUACUACUUAGUCAAGAAGGGAGUAAGUGUGUAAAGUUUUAAAUGUUUGCAAUUGAAAGUAGUCUAUGUAAAUGUUUUCAACAAGUGAUAUGCUAAUACUUUUCUAUUUUUUGGUGUCGAUUUUAGCAUUUGAUUAACGCUUGUUUUUUUUCAGCAGAGGUAGAAAUAACUUUUAAUGUGUGGCAUAAAUAUAAGUCAUUCAUUGUAAAU